AGCAGCCGCGGUAAUUCCAGCUCCAAUAGCGUAUAUUAAAGUUGUUGCAGUUAAAAAGCUCGUAGUUGAAUUUCGAGAUCAAUUUGUUGGUCGUGCCUCGAUACGUACUGGCAAUUUUGGUUCUCCCUUCUGAAGAACCAUGAUGUCAUUAAUUUGGUGUCAUGGGGAAUCAGGACUGUUACUUUGAAAAAAUUAGAGUGUUUAAAGCAGGCUCGCGCUUGAAUACAUUAGCAUGGAAUAAUGAAAUAGGACGUUUGAUUCUAUUUUGUUGGUUUCUAGGAUCGACGUAAUGAUUAAUAGGGAUAGUUGGGGGCAUUAGUAUUCAAUUGUCAGAGGUGAAAUUCUUGGAUUUAUUGAAGACUAACUACUGCGAAAGCAUUUGCCAAGGAUGUUUUCAUUAAUCAAGAACGAAAGUUAGGGGAUCGAAGACGAUCAGAUACCGUCGUAGUCUUAACCAUAAACUAUGCCGACUAGGGAUCGGAUGAUGUUAAUUUUUAAUGA
RNAcentral lists this ribosomal RNA (501 nucleotides) under uncultured Glomus. Its description in RNAcentral is "SSU rRNA". It matches the Rfam family "Eukaryotic small subunit ribosomal RNA", at positions 569 to 1074 of the family's 1831-position model. The record is from RNAcentral. Lineage: Eukaryota; Fungi; Glomeromycota; Glomeromycetes; Glomerales; Glomeraceae.